AUGGCAUCUCUAGCCAGAACAGUUCAGUUGGUGCACGGCGACGUCGUGGCUCGACAAGUGUGGGCAACGGCAGUAGGGUCCCCGUUGAAGUGGAGCCUGAUGACUACAAUUCUGGGGUUGAUGAAGAGAAGCUAUAUUCUGAUGUUAUUCAGAAUUUACGACGGGCACCUCGGGCUGAAAACCAAGAUGAGGCUCACAAUGCAGUCCAUGAGGAUGAUGACGCGGUGGGUGAGGACGAAGACCUUGCAGCUGUUGAAUGGGACCCUUUGA
RNAcentral lists this ribosomal RNA (270 nucleotides) under Triticum aestivum (bread wheat). RNAcentral's name for it is "partial small subunit ribosomal RNA". The record is from RNAcentral. Lineage: Eukaryota; Viridiplantae; Streptophyta; Magnoliopsida; Poales; Poaceae.